This 610-nucleotide long non-coding RNA is filed under the name Ananas comosus (pineapple). RNAcentral's name for it is "long non-coding RNA (ACOM_LNC009442)". Lineage: Eukaryota; Viridiplantae; Streptophyta; Magnoliopsida; Poales; Bromeliaceae. The record is from RNAcentral.
AUCGUUACUCAUAAAUUUACAAGGGCUAUUUUUAGUAUACGCAACCGGAUCUAUUAAAUCUGAUCAAAUCAGAUUAGCAAAUGACAGCGAUAUUUAAUGAAUCACACGGUUAUUCCACCUUACACACGAAAAACUAAAAGUUCAGUAGUAAAAUAUGCACGAAAAUCAAUCUUAAGGUAGGAGGAUGAAUAGUAAAUUUGAGACUCGUGCCCUCGUCUCGGGGUUUAAAAUAAGUAGGUUUAUGGAGGGUUUCUAAGGCCAACACUACAGGCAUGUGCUAGAUGUCUUCAACCUACUAAUAGCACAACAACCUACUUAUGUCUUUAAAAAUAACGACAAGGAAAAGAACAAUCUAUACCUAAGAUAUUUAUCUAUCAUAUAUCAUAUCAGCCUACUUUUGUCUUCUUAUCAUGACUAACUAACAAAAAUCAAUUGGUGUUUGGAAGCACAUCAAACUCAUAACAUACCAUACCAUGCCCUACCAGUAUGUCAAACCUGUAAUUAUGUUGAAACUUCCCCAUUGCUUUUCCAUUUUUGCCCUCCGAAGUCUUCUCUCUCUUCAUCCUACUCAAAACCCCCUCCUCCCCCUCUUGAAAUCCAAUGAUCCAAC